RNAcentral lists this ribosomal RNA (466 nucleotides) under uncultured bacterium. RNAcentral's name for it is "partial 16S ribosomal RNA". It matches the Rfam family "Bacterial small subunit ribosomal RNA", at positions 28 to 507 of the family's 1533-position model. The record is from RNAcentral.
GAUGAACGCUGGCGGCGUGCUUAACACAUGCAAGUCGAACGGAAAGGCCCAAGCUUGCUUGGGUACUCGAGUGGCGAACGGGUGAGUAACACGUGGGUGAUCUGCCCUGCACUUCGGGAUAAGCCUGGGAAACUGGGUCUAAUACCGGAUAGGACCACAUUUUGGAUGGUGUGGUGGAAAGUUUUUCGGUGUGGGAUGAGCUCGCGGCCUAUCAGCUUGUUGGUGGGGUAAUGGCCUACCAAGGCGUCGACGGGUAGCCGGCCUGAGAGGGUGUACGGCCACAUUGGGACUGAGAUACGGCCCAGACUCCUACGGGAGGCAGCAGUGGGGAAUAUUGCACAAUGGGCGCAAGCCUGAUGCAGCGACGCCGCGUGGGGGAUGACGGCCUUCGGGUUGUAAAUUCCUUUCGCUAGGGACGAAGCGUUAUGUGACGGUACCUGGAGAAGAAGCACCGGCUAACUACGUG